GAAAUAUAUAAAAAAAUAAGCUUCUAACUUAAUUUUAAAGCAUUUAAUUGUUUGUAUUUCU
This 61-nucleotide transfer RNA is filed under the name Tenebrionoidea sp. 12 KM-2017. RNAcentral describes it as "tRNA-Ser". Lineage: Eukaryota; Metazoa; Arthropoda; Insecta; Coleoptera. The record is from RNAcentral.